AGUCAUGCCUGGUAGGCAAAUCCGCCGGGCUAAGAUGAGGGGUGAUAACGAGUCUGCUUGCAGACGAAGUGAGUGAUACCCUGCUUCCAGGAAAAGCCACUAAGCUUCAGCUGACGACCGUACCGCAAACCGACACUGGUGCGCGAGAUGAGUAUUCUAAGGCGCUUGAGAGAACUCAGGAGAAGGAACUCGGCAAAUUAACACCGUAACUUCGGGAGAAGGUGUACCCCAAGUCAGUGAAGUUGAACAAACGGAGCUAAAAGGGGUUGCAAAAAAUUGGUGGCUGCGACUGUUUAAUAAAAACACAGCACUCUGCAAACACGAAAGUGGACGUAUAGGGUGUGACGCCUGCCCGGUGCUGGAAGAUUAAAUGAUGGGGUGCAAGCUCUUGAUUGAAGUCCCAGUAAACGGCGGCCGUAACAAUAACGGUCCUAAGGUAGCGAAAUUCCUUGUCGGGUAAGUUCCGACCUGCACGAAUGGCGUAACGAUGGCCACACUGUCUCCUCCUGAGACUCAGCGAAGUUGAAAUGUUUGUGAUGAUGCAAUCUCCCCGCGGAAAGACGGAAAGACCCCAUGAACCUUUACUGUAGCUUUGUAUUGGACUUUGAACGGAUCUGUGUAGGAUAGGUGGGAGGCUUUGAAGUGUGGUCGCUAGAUCACAUGGAGCCAACGUUGAAAUACCACCCUGGUGCGUUUGAGGUUCUAACCUUGGUCCAUUAUCUGGAUCGGGGACAGUGCAUGGUAGGCAGUUUGACUGGGGCGGUCUCCUCCCAAAGCGUAACGGAGGAGUUCGAAGGUACGCUAGUUACGGUCGGACAUCGUGACGAUAGUGCAAUGGCAUAAGCGUGCUUAACUGCGAGACUGACAAGUCGAGCAGAUGCGAAAGCAGGACAUAGUGAUCCGGUGGUUCUGUAUGGAAGGGCCAUCGCUCAACGGAUAAAAGGUACUCUGGGGAUAACAGGCUGAUACCGCCCAAGAGUUCAUAUCGACGGCGGUGUUUGGCACCUCGAUGUCGGCUCAUCUCAUCCUGGGGCUGUAGUCGGUCCCAAGGGUAUGGCUGUUCGCCAUUUAAAGAGGUACGUGAGCUGGGUUUAAAACGUCGUGAGACAGUUUGGUCCCUAUCUUCCGUGGGCGCUGCAGAUUUGAGGAAGCCUGCUCCUAGUACGAGAGGACCGGAGUGGACACACCUCUGGUGUACCUGUUGUCACGCCAGUGGCAUCGCAGGGUAGCUAAGUGUGGAAGAGAUAACCGCUGAAAGCAUCUAAGCGGGAAACUCGUUUCAAGAUGAGAUCUGCCGGGGCCUUGAGCCCCCUGAAGGGUCGUUGUAGACCACGACGUUGAUAGGCUGGGUGUGGAAGCG
RNAcentral lists this ribosomal RNA (1360 nucleotides) under metagenome. Its description in RNAcentral is "bacterial LSU rRNA". It matches the Rfam family "Bacterial large subunit ribosomal RNA", at positions 1522 to 2875 of the family's 2925-position model. The record is from RNAcentral.